Molecule: ribosomal RNA, 1716 nt
Filed under: Morganella morganii
Lineage: Bacteria; Pseudomonadati; Pseudomonadota; Gammaproteobacteria; Enterobacterales; Morganellaceae
Also listed under: 2 other names
Description: partial 23S ribosomal RNA
Rfam family: Bacterial large subunit ribosomal RNA
Source: RNAcentral
GGUUAAGCGAAUAAGCGUACACGGUGGAUGCCUAGGCAGUCAGAGGCGAUGAAGGACGUGCUAAUCUGCGAUAAGCGCCGGUAAGGUGAUAUGAACCGUUAUAACCGGCGAUUUCCGAAUGGGGAAACCCAGUGCAAUUCGUUGCACUAUCAUUACCUGAAUACAUAGGGUAAUGAAGCGAACCGGGAGAACUGAAACAUCUAAGUACCCCGAGGAAAAGAAAUCAAACGAGAUUCCCCCAGUAGCGGCGAGCGAACGGGGAGCAGCCCAGGACCUUAAUCAGCAUCAGUGUUAAGAGAACAGUCUGGAAAGGCUGGCCACAGCAGGUGAUAGCCCUGUAUCUGAAAGCACUGGUGUUGUGAGUCCGAUGAGUAAGGCGGGACACGUGUUAUCCUGUCUGAAUACGGGGGGACCAUCCUCCAAGGCUAAAUACUCCUGACUGACCGAUAGUGAACCAGUACCGUGAGGGAAAGGCGAAAAGAACCCCGGCGAGGGGAGUGAAAAAGAACCUGAAACCGUGUACGUACAAGCAGUGGGAGCACCUUUAUGGUGUGACUGCGUACCUUUUGUAUAAUGGGUCAGCGACUUAUAUUCUGUAGCAAGGUUAACCGGAUAGGGGAGCCGCAGGGAAACCGAGUCUUAACUGGGCGAAUUAGUUGCAGGGUAUAGACCCGAAACCCGGUGAUCUAGCCAUGGGCAGGUUGAAGGUUGGGUAACACUAACUGGAGGACCGAACCGACUAAUGUUGAAAAAUUAGCGGAUGACUUGUGGCUGGGGGUGAAAGGCCAAUCAAACCGGGAGAUAGCUGGUUCUCCCCGAAAGCUAUUUAGGUAGCGCCUCGUGAACUCAUCUCCGGGGGUAGAGCACUGUUUCGGCUAGGGGGUCAUCCCGACUUACCAACCCGAUGCAAACUGCGAAUACCGGAGAAUGUUAUCACGGGAGACACACGGCGGGUGCUAACGUUCGUCGUGAAGAGGGAAACAACCCAGACCGCCGGCUAAGGUCCCAAAGUCAUAAUUAAGUGGGAAACGAAGUGGGAAGGCUCAGACAGCCAGGAUGUUGGCUUAGAAGCAGCCAUCAUUUAAAGAAAGCGUAAUAGCUCACUGGUCGAGUCGGCCUGCGCGGAAGAUGUAACGGGGCUAAAUUAUGCACCGAAGCCGCGGCAGCGAUAUGUAAAUAUUGUUGGGUAGGGGAGCGUUCUGUAAGCCUGUGAAGGUGACCUGUGAGGGUUGCUGGAGGUAUCAGAAGUGCGAAUGCUGACAUAAGUAACGAUAAUGCGGGUGAAAAACCCGCACGCCGGAAGACCAAGGGUUCCUGUCCAACGUUAAUCGGGGCAGGGUGAGUCGACCCCUAAGGCGAGGCUGAAAAGCGUAGUCGAUGGGCAACGGGUUAAUAUUCCCGUACUGGUGGUAACUGCGAAGGGGGGACGGAGAAAGCUAAAUCAUCCGGGCGACGGUUGUCCCGGUUUAAGCGUGCAGGUGGACUGACCAGGCAAAUCCGGUCGGUUGUUAACACUGAGGCGUGACGACGAGCCACUACGGUGGUGAAGUGAUUGAUGCUCUGCUUCCGGGAAAAGCCUCUAAGCUCCAGGUUACCAUUAAUCGUACCCCAAACCGACACAGGUGGUCAGGUAGAGAAUACUCAGGCGCUUGAGAGAACUCGGGUGAAGGAACUAGGCAAAAUGGUGCCGUAACUUCGGGAGAAGGCACGCUGGCA